CUUCUUUUGUGAGUGGUGAUGUUAGUGAUUGUGGAGAGAGAGAGAAGGGUGAAUAAAAUUGUAACGAUUUGGUAGGUUGAAAAACCUGUCUGGGAUUUUCAUUAUUAGAAAAUUGGAGCAUGGCCCCUGCGCAAGGAUGACACGCAAAUUCGUGAAGCGUUCCAUAUUUUU
Molecule: small nuclear RNA, 171 nt
Organism: Papio anubis (olive baboon)
Lineage: Eukaryota; Metazoa; Chordata; Mammalia; Primates; Cercopithecidae
Source: Ensembl